AGAGUUUGAUCCUGGCUCAGAUUGAACGCUGGCGGCAUGCUUUACACAUGCAAGUCGAACGGCAGCACGGGGGCAACCCUGGUGGCGAGUGGCGAACGGGUGAGUAAUAUAUCGGAACGUACCCGGAAAUGGGGGAUAACGUAGCGAAAGUUACGCUAAUACCGCAUAUGCCCUAAGGGGGGAAGCGGGGGAUUCGCAAGAACCUCGCGUUUUCGGAGCGGCCGAUAUCGGAUUAGCUAGUAGGUGAGGUAAAGGCUCACCUAGGCGACGAUCCGUAGCUGGUCUGAGAGGACGACCAGCCACACUGGAACUGAGACACGGUCCAGACUCCUACGGGAGGCAGCAGUGGGGAAUUUUGGACAAUGGGCGCAAGCCUGAUCCAGCCAUGCCGCGUGAGUGAAGAAGGCCUUCGGGUUGUAAAGCUCUUUCAGCCGGAAAGAAAACGCACGGGUUAAUAACCUGUGUGGAUGACGGUACCGGAAGAAGAAGCACCGGCUAACUACGUGCCAGCAGCCGCGGUAAUACGUAGGGUGCGAGCGUUAAUCGGAAUUACUGGGCGUAAAGCGUGCGCAGGCGGUUUUGUAAGACAGAUGUGAAAUCCCCGGGC
This 607-nucleotide ribosomal RNA is filed under the name uncultured bacterium. RNAcentral describes it as "bacterial SSU rRNA". It matches the Rfam family "Bacterial small subunit ribosomal RNA", at positions 8 to 608 of the family's 1533-position model. The record is from RNAcentral.